UACUGAUCUAUUUCUGUGCCAAUACCACCUACUGUAACUUUAAAAUAGGUUUUUGUUUAUACCAAGUAAGAAUAAGUUACCAUUAUUUUUCCGUUAAUUUUUUGUUUGUUUGUUUGUUUGAGACAAGGUCUCACUCUGUCACUCUGUUGCCCAGGCUGGAGUGCAGUGGCACGAUCUCAGCUCACUGUAACCUCUGCCUCCCUGCUUCAAGUGAUUCUCCCACCUCAUCCUCCCAAGUAACUGGGACUACAGAUGUGUGCCACCACACCUGGCUAAUCUUUAUAUUUUUAGUAGAGAGGGGUGUUUCACCAUGUUGGCCAGGCUAGUCUCGAACUUGUGACCUCAAAUGAUCCUCCCGCCUCCGCCUCCCAAAGUGCUGGGAUUACUGGUGUGAGCCAUGGAGGCUGGCCUGAGUAUUCUAGUUUGUAACUUACAAGGUCAUUCAUAUGUAUAUGUUGUUGUGCUUGUCUAGCUAUUUUAUAUUUUGUUAUUCUGAACUCUUGGCCUCUAUUUCAGCUCCAGCCCCUGAAAGCGCAGGAUUGCUUUUGCUCUGCCAGUCGGCCUUUUUUGGGAAAUCACAUCAAGAUGGUUCUUCCAGCACAAUUACUUCCUAGAGUGUCUGCUUGACCCAUGAAAACUCACAGAUUUUUGGCAUGCCAAACAGAGGAUUAUCCUGCCAUCACUGCUGGCUCCAGCCACAGACUUCGGUUCUCUUAACUGUUAGAACCUUUGUCCUCUGACUGGUGGAAAUGGAGCUUGCUUCUUUUUGUUUUGCCUGCCACUAGGCUGGCAGCCUCCACCUCUUGACCCUUGGGUUUCUUAUCCUUGGAAUCAGAUAUGAGGCCCUGUGUCUUCUGUUGCUGUAGAGGACACAAGUCAUAUUCUCUGAGUGGAGAUCUCUUUGAAGCUCCUCUUUCCAGGCUUGUACUGAGGGACCUCUGGACCCUCUACCACGUGAUGUCAAAGCUGCCAAGAGCUGUCGCAUGCCGGGUCUGUAAAUUGACUUUCUCACCUCUGACCAGAUGCAUUCACUUGAGCAGCACAGAGAUUUGGGGGAGUGAAAGGGCACUGUUUCUUUGGGUCCAUGGCUUGUGUCCCAUCCCUUAGCCUUGGGGUUAGCAGGAUUCAGAAUUUAUGAGCUUGGUCUGCAAAAGUCUACCUCUGCCAGAUGGGGGAGAACCUAGUAUGUGGACCUGAAGGGUUAGCUCUGUGCUUUAGUCCCUGGGAGCGGCCAUCCUGAGUCUUGGUGGGCUUGGCAAGUAAGGAGACAUUGACCAGAUUCAAAGCUUCCAGAGGCGGUGAGAACUCCAGGGCCCAGUAAUGGAGAGUACAAAGGUCCUUCUUAGCCCCCAUGACCCUUCCAAGCCAAGAACUUGGCAGUAGCUGUGAGUAGCAGAGAUAGGCAGAGGAGGUGAGGGGCACCUAUAGCUCUUAGCCAUGAGUUAUGACUCCCUCCAUCCAAGGGAGACCUAAGGACAUGAAAGGGGACUCAGUUCUAGGGAUCAGAGGGAACUUGGGUUGUUUUGGGAUAAUGACUGUGGCUUGGGAUGUCACGGAGAUGAACACCAGAAUUGGUGUGCAACAGAUGAGCUCCAGUACCCUUGAUGGUUUGCAUGGGUUUUGCUCUGCUGAUGAUGGUCAGGGACAGCAGUGAGGCCCUCUACAAUGCUGCCUUUUGCCUAAACACAGGCAGUGCCCACAAAAGGGGAGCUGUCAUUAUGGAGCCUAGGAAUGGAUAGUCAGAGAGCAGCAGCUGGGCAGUGCAACUCCUGCAUUGGACAAGGUCCUGGCUAGAGAAUGUCAAUGUCCACACUGCAUGUAGCCCUAUCGAGGAGAUGAUGUAGGGGGCUGUCAGCCUUGGAGACUCUAGCCUAAGUACCCCACCACCACUCUAGCUGGGUUCUGAGGGCACAAAUCAGCUUUCUGAAUCUGACUUGGCUUCCUGUGAUCUGCAUUCAUGAACAUUCUUACUAGAGUUCUCAUGGAAAAUGAAUACACAACCAUUUGGUCUGAAUGUCAGUCUGAGUUUGGUGUCUCCAAAACAAUUCUCUGGAUUAGAUGGAGAAUGAAGAAACUUCACAAAGGCAAAAGGACAGGUCCCCAUCCCGACCCCCAGAGACCACUUCUCAGAGUCUCCAUCUGUUCAUCUCUGGUGUUAGCCACUUUCCUUUACUUUCCCUCAUUUCUGUAGCCACUCCUGUGGAUUCCUGUCUUUCAACCUGCAGGCUGCUGCUGCCCUGCCUCAGACCCUUGUAGGCUUCUGUAGAGAUGCUACUCAGAUGGGGGUGGAGCUAGAUGCAGAGCUGAAACCUACCUAGGAGAUCUACCUUGGAGAGCUUGUGAAUCUUAGGAGAGCUAGGCAUAAAAUGACUAAAGCUUGUCACCGCAUGAGAUAAAAUAAAUGAAAAGCCACUUCUGGAGGGAAUGGGGCAGUCUGUCUUUAUUGGAGAGAUACAUAUUGUUGAACAGCUCUGGGCAGUUGAUUGUGUGCCUGGGAGAGCUAACCAUGUUUACUCUACACUUGACCUGUGAUGGUCUGUAUUGAUUGUAUCACACGCUUAGCUUUCUAAGGCUAACCAGGUCAUCAUCCUCAGUCCCUGCCUGCAACUAGGUUGCCAACUGGCCCUUGAUUUCCCACCCAACUUGUUCAGUUUGCCCUCAAUCCUGGGGCUUCACUAAUUUCCCAAAAAGAUAUGGUUGGUACCACCUGUAGUUUGCUGUUUCGUGUUAGCCUGACUUUUGGGAAACUCAAACAUUUUUCAAACGCAUUGACCACUUUUACUCUAUGACUUCUGCUUUGCAUAAUCGUUUGCUUGGUCACCCAUCAUGCUGCUUUCUGGUGAGCUGAAAGGAAAAUAAAUGGUCUAAACUGAGCAACAAGAAAGCAAACUUCUUUUAAGCAGGUACUUUCCAAGUGAAAUG
RNAcentral lists this small RNA (2922 nucleotides) under Pongo abelii (Sumatran orangutan). RNAcentral's name for it is "sense overlapping". The record is from RNAcentral. Lineage: Eukaryota; Metazoa; Chordata; Mammalia; Primates; Hominidae.